Molecule: ribosomal RNA, 274 nt
Filed under: uncultured bacterium
Lineage: Bacteria
Description: partial 16S ribosomal RNA
Rfam family: Bacterial small subunit ribosomal RNA
Source: RNAcentral
GCGAAUACGGAGGGUGCGAGCGUUAAUCGGAAUUACUGGGCGUAAAGCGCAUGCAGGUGGUUUGUUAAGUCAGAUGUGAAAGCCCGGGGCUCAACCUCGGAAUUGCAUUUGAAACUGGCAAACUAGAGUACUGUAGAGGGGGUAGAAUUUCAGGUGUAGCGGUGAAAUGCGUAGAGAUCUGAAGGAAUACCGGUGGCGAAGGCGGCCCCCUGGACAGAUAAUGACACUCAGAUGCGAAAGCGUGGGGAGCAAACAGGAUUAGAUACCCUGGUAG